UAGAAAAUAAUAUAAGGGAAGUAUAGAGGGUUUUGAUCUCUCUAGUGCAGGUUCAACUCCUGCUUUUCUAA
Molecule: transfer RNA, 71 nt
Filed under: Heterophasia melanoleuca (black-headed sibia)
Lineage: Eukaryota; Metazoa; Chordata; Aves; Passeriformes; Leiothrichidae
Description: tRNA-Gln
Rfam family: tRNA
About the family: Transfer RNA (tRNA) molecules are approximately 80 nucleotides in length.
Source: RNAcentral